Triticum aestivum (bread wheat) is the source of this 135-nucleotide non-coding RNA. Lineage: Eukaryota; Viridiplantae; Streptophyta; Magnoliopsida; Poales; Poaceae. The record is from Rfam.
AUACUACUCCCUCCGUCCGGAAAUACUUGUCAUCAAAAUGGAUAAAAGGGGAUGUAUCUAGACGUAUUUUAGUUAUAGAUACAUCUCUUUUUACUCAUUUUGAUGACAAGUAUUUUCGGACGGAGGGAGUACUAG